Molecule: ribosomal RNA, 257 nt
Filed under: uncultured bacterium
Lineage: Bacteria
Description: partial 16S ribosomal RNA
Rfam family: Bacterial small subunit ribosomal RNA
Source: RNAcentral
UACAGAGGGUGCGAGCGUUAAUCGGAAUUACUGGGCGUAAAGCGUGCGCAGGCGGUUCGUUGUGUCGGCGGUGAAAUCCCCGGGCUCAACCUGGGAAUGGCCGUUGAAACUGGCGAACUGGAGUGUGGCAGAGGGGGGUGGAAUUCCGCGUGUAGCAGUGAAAAUGCGUAGAGAUGCGGAGGAACACCGAUGGCGAAGGCAGCCCCCCUGGGCUGACACUGACGCUCGAGGCACGAAAGCGUGGGGGAGCAAACAGG